RNAcentral lists this transfer RNA (63 nucleotides) under Ictidomys tridecemlineatus (thirteen-lined ground squirrel). RNAcentral describes it as "Spermophilus tridecemlineatus (thirteen-lined ground squirrel) tRNA". It matches the Rfam family "tRNA". Rfam says of the family: Transfer RNA (tRNA) molecules are approximately 80 nucleotides in length. Lineage: Eukaryota; Metazoa; Chordata; Mammalia; Rodentia; Sciuridae. The record is from Rfam by way of RNAcentral.
GGGGUUGUGGCUCAGUGGUAGAGCGCGUGUCUUGCACGUGGGAGGGUUCAAUCCUCAGCAUCA